GUUAGUGCCCUUAGGUAUAUAGAUGCUCUGUUAGUGCCCCUGCUUUAGGUAUAUAGAUGUUCUGUUAGUGCCCGUAGGUAUAUAGAUGUGCUGUUAGUGCCCGUAGGUAUAUAGAUGUGCUGUUAGUGUCCCUGCUUUAGGUAUAUAGAUGCUCUGUUAGUGCCUGUGCUUUAGGUAUAUAGAUGCUCUGUUAGUGCCCCUGCUUUCGGUAUAUAGAUGUGCUGUUAGUGCCCGUAGGGAUAUAGAUGCUCUGUUAGUGCCCGUAGGUAUAUAGAUGCUCUGUUAGUGCCCGUGCUUUAGGUAUAUAGAUGCUCUGUUAGUGCCUGUGCUUUAGGUAUAUAGAUGUGCUGUUAGUGCCCGUAGGUAUAUAGAUGCUCUGUUAGUGCCCGUGCUUUAGGUAUAUAGAUGCUCUGUUAGUGCCCGUAGGUAUAUAGAUGCUCUGUUAGUGCCCCUGCUUUAGGUAUAUAGAUGCUCUGUUAGUGCCCGUGCUUUAGGUAUAUAGAUGCUCUGUUAGUGCCUGUGCUUUAGGUAUAUAGAUGCUCUGUUAGUGUCCCUGCUUUAGGUAUAUAGAUGCGCUGUUAGUGCCCGUAGGUAUAUAGAUGCUCUGUUAGUGCCCGUGCUUUAGGUAUAUAGAUGUGCUGUUAGUGCCCGUAGGGAUAUAGAUGCUCUGUUAGUACCUGUGCUUUAGGUAUAUAGAUGCUCUGUUAGUGCCCGUGCUUUAGCUAUAUAGAUGCUCUGUAAGUGCCCGUGCUUUAGGUAUAUAGAUGCUCUGUUAGUGCCCGUAGGUAUAUAGAUGCUCUGUUAGUGCCUGUGCUUUAGGUAUAUAGAUGCCCUGUUAGUACCCGUGCUUUAGGUAUAUAGAUGCUCUGUUAGUGCCCGUAGGUAUAUAGAUGUGCUGUAAGUGCCUGUGCUUUAGGUAUAUAGAUGCUGUGUUAGUGCCCGUGCUUUAGGUAUAUAGAUGCUCUGUAAGUGCCUGUGCUUUAGGUAUACAGAUGCUCUGUUAGUGCCUGUGCUUUAGGUAUAUAGAUGCCCUGUUUGUGCCCGUGCUUUAGGUAUAUAGAUGCUCUGUUAGUGCCUGUGCUUUAGGUAUAUAGAUGCUCUGUUAGUGCCUGUGCUUUAGGUAUAUAGAUGCUCUGUUAGUGCCCGUAGGUAUAUAGAUGUGCUGUUAGUGCCCGUAGGUAUAUAGAUGCUCUGUUAGUGCCCGUGCUUUAGGUAUAUAGAUUCGCUGUUAGUGCUGUGUCUUGAUGAAAUUGUUUACUUAAGUUCACUGUAAUGUUAAAUUUGCCUCAAUACAGAGAGGGAAAAGGUGCAAGUUAAACCACAGCAAACAGUUCUCAGUAUACAGAGUUAUAAACAGUGGUCACAGUUUCACAGGUGAAGAAAUUAGAUUGACUCAGCCUUGCUACUGUGGAAACAAAUAAUGUGCAACAGGUGAACUUUGAAUUAAAAGUAAACACAUGUGUAUGGGUCUAAAAGUGUAUCAUUCAUUCAUGCAACAAUAGGUGACACAUAUGUACUAAGAAAUAUCAGCAAAAAAAGUCAUUAAACACAGUGACUAUAACCUUGAUACAGUGACCACUAACCUUAAUUCAAGAAAUGCUUGCAAAAAUAUUCAAAAAUAUAAAUGACCAAAAAUUACUAAUUAACACUAACAUGCAACAAUAAAACUACUCUAGAGCACCGAAGCAACACUUAUAUAUAUACAUAUUUAAUCAUACAUACAGGACUGUUACUGCAACAAGGUGAACUAAUCAUACAUACAGGACUUUUACUGCUACAAAGUAACCCAAUAACCAUACAUACAGGACUUUUACUGCUACAACGUAACCCAAUAACCAUACAUACAGGACUUUUACUGCUACAACGUAACCCAAUAACCAUACAUACUGGACUUUUACUGCUACAACGUAACCCAAUAACCAUACAUACUGGAUUUUUACUGCUACAACGUAACCCAAUAACCAUACAUACUGGACUUAAACCGCUACAACGUAACCCAAUAACCAUACAUACUGGAUUUUUACUGCUACAACGUAACCGAAUAACCAUAC
This 2051-nucleotide long non-coding RNA is filed under the name Mizuhopecten yessoensis (Yesso scallop). Its description in RNAcentral is "uncharacterized LOC110455664, transcript variant X2". The record is from RNAcentral. Lineage: Eukaryota; Metazoa; Mollusca; Bivalvia; Pectinida; Pectinidae.